UUUCCUCGACGGCGCGAUUCUCCUCUCGGGCGAAACCGCAGCCAAGGCGAGGGUUUCCUCCUCUCGACGUCGACGAGGCGUUUUCCGGCCGGUCUCCACCCGUGGGUGACCUUUCCGGCAAGGAAAGCUUGGGGAACACAAGGAAAAGGGAGAAACCGAAGCUCUACCGAAAACCUAGGGCGCUCCUCGUGUUGUAAGUCCAAGAACCACCGCGAUACAGAUAAGAGUAAAGGAAAAGCUAAAGUGUUAUAGAGGAAGGCGACAAGGAGAUGUUGGUGGUGUGUGUGUGAUGCCGGAUAUGGAAGCUUGGGACCUUACUAGAAGAGUUUAGAAAUUGUAUUUGCUGGUGUUUAUGUUACUGUUAGAGUAGAAUUUAUUUUGCAUUACUAAUUUCGUUAUCUUCCUGUCAUUUAGUUGGAAUAACUGUUAAGCUGAGAACAUGUUCCUUUUUCCUUAUUCUGGCUUAGUUUUCAAGUUUUGUGAAGUAAGAUCAUAUCUGAUUGGAGUUUGAUUUUUUUUA
Zingiber officinale is the source of this 520-nucleotide long non-coding RNA. RefSeq lists it as uncharacterized. The record is from RefSeq and is a predicted model, not a curated record. Lineage: Eukaryota; Viridiplantae; Streptophyta; Magnoliopsida; Zingiberales; Zingiberaceae. The transcript has 2 exons.